RNAcentral lists this non-coding RNA (198 nucleotides) under Clostridium autoethanogenum. Its description in RNAcentral is "T-box sequence". It matches the Rfam family "T-box leader". From Rfam's summary of the family: Uncharged tRNA acts as the effector for transcription antitermination of genes in the T-box leader family. Lineage: Bacteria; Bacillati; Bacillota; Clostridia; Eubacteriales; Clostridiaceae. The record is from RNAcentral.
AAUUAACUGAUGAAGAGGUUAGUAGCUUUAAAAUGAUUUAAGAGAGUCAGUGUCUUGGUGUAAGCUGAUAUCAUAAUAUUGUGAAUCCACCUUGGAAGUACUGAUAAAACAGUUCGGUAAUACCGUUAUAAAUUAGAGAGAAUUAGCAUUAAUUUGUUAAUUAAAUAGGGUGGCAACACGGAGUCUUUCGUCCCUUUA